UGAAAUGUCCAAUAAAAUUCC
This 21-nucleotide non-coding RNA is filed under the name Caenorhabditis elegans. Lineage: Eukaryota; Metazoa; Nematoda; Chromadorea; Rhabditida; Rhabditidae. The record is from RNAcentral.